Molecule: ribosomal RNA, 1983 nt
Filed under: gut metagenome
Description: bacterial LSU rRNA
Rfam family: Bacterial large subunit ribosomal RNA
Source: RNAcentral
GAAAGUAAACAAGGGCGCAUGGAGGAUGCCUAGGCUCUCGGAGGCGAAGAAGGACGUGAUAAGCUGCGAAAAGUUACGGUAAGGCGCAAAUAGCCCUAGACCCGUAAAUAUCCGAAUGGGGCAACCCGGCCAGCAAUGGCCAUACCGCCAAGCGGUAAGCCAACGCGGGGAACUGAAACAUCUAAGUACCCGCAGGAAAAGAAAAUAACAAUGAUUCCGCCAGUAGUGGCGAGCGAACGCGGAACAGCCCAAACCACUCGUGUUACGGCACGAGUGGGGUAGAAGGAUCCACGAUACGGCAAGAAAUAAGUUAGCAGAAUACGAUGGAAAUCGUAGCCAAAGACGGUGACAGCCCAGUACGCGAAAACCGACAGAAGCCCAGUGGACACCUGAGUAACCCAGGACACGAGAAAUCCGGGGCGAAUCAGCGGGGCCCAUCCCGUAAGGCUAAAUACUCCCGAGAGACCGAUAGCGAACCAGUACUGUGAAGGAAAGGUGAAAAGAACCUCGAACAGAGGAGUGAAAGAGACCCUGAAACCAUGCGCCUACAAGCGGUCGGAGCAUGUUAAAAUGUGACGGCGUGCCUUUUGCAUAAUGAACCUACGAGUUACUCUCGCUGGCAAGGUUAAGCGAUUCAGUCGCGCAGCCGAAGCGAAAGCAAGUCCGAAUAAGGCGUACAGUCAGCGGGAGUAGACGCGAAACCAAGUGAUCUACCCUUGGUCAGGUUGAAGGUUGGGUAACACCAACUGGAGGACCGCACCGAUAAGCGUUGAAAAGCUUACGGAUGAACUGAGGGUAGGAGUGAAAGGCCAAUCAAACUUGGAGAUAGCUCGUACUCCCCGAAAUGCAUUUAGGUGCAGCCUCGAAGCAGAGUGAUAGAGGUAGAGCGACUGAUAAGAUGCGAGGGCUUCACCGCCUAUCAAGUCUUGACAAACUCCGAAUACUAUCACUUGAUCUUUGGGAGUGAGGGCAUGGGUGCUAAGGUCCAUGUCCGAAAGAGGAACAACUCAGACCACCAGCUAAGGUCCCGAAAUAAGGGCUAAGUUGAAUAAACGAAGUAAAACUGCAAAGACAGCUAGGAUGUUGGCUUGGAAGCAGCCAUUCAUUUAAAGAGUGCGUAACAGCUCACUAGUCGAGGAGUUUUGCAUGGAUAAUAAUCGGGCAUAAGCCCUUUACCGAAGCUGUGGAUGUCGUAAGACAUGGUAGGGGAGCAUUCCGGCGGCGACGAAGGCCGUCCUCGAGGACGACUGGAGCUUUCGGAAAAGCAAAUGUAGGUAUAAGUAACGAUAAAGGGGGCGCGAAACCCCCUCGCCAUAAGACUAAGGAUUCCUGAUCAACGCUAAUCGGAUCAGGGUAAGUCGGGCCCUAAGGCGCAGCCGAACGGCGUAGCCGAUGGAAGAAACGGUAAAGAUUCCGUUACUGGAUAUAGGAGCGAUGUGGAGACGGAGAAGUGACACACCCGCCUGCCGACGGAAGCGCAGGUUAAAGGAAGUAGGUAAACGCCGGGUAGGCAAAUCCGCCUGGCGUGCCGAAACUGACAGUAUCGAGAGCCCCCGGGCAAUCGAAUAGCGGUGGUAAUCAGGCUCCCAAGAAAAUCCGCUAAGCAUAUUCUAUAUCCACCCGUACCCCAAACGGACACACGUAGUCGGGUAGAAUAUACCAAGGCGCUCGAAAGACUCACGGUUAAGGAACUAGGCAAAUUGACCCUGUAACCUCGGGAAAAAGGGUCCCCAGUAAGAUGGGGCGCAGAGAAUAGGUCCAGGCAACUGUUUAACAAAAACACAGGGCUGUGCAAAAUUUCAAGAUGAAGUAUACAGCCUGACACCUGCCCGGUGCCGGAAGGUUAAGAGGAGAGCUUAUCGCAAGAGAAGGCUUGAAUUGAAGCCCCGGUAAACGGCGGCCGUAACUAUAACGGUCCUAAGGUAGCGAAAUUCCUUGUCGGGUAAGUUCCGACCUGCACGAAUGGUGUAAUGAUCUGGACAC